CUGAGCUGCAGUGAAACCACAGAGAGCAAAGGUCAGAGCCAUAAACAUGACAGCAGCGCUGAUGUUUUUUCUUCCUGGGGGAGUGAAACAGAGGAACUGAAACAGACGAAAGAAAAGAAAGAUGGAACAAAACGGCCGAGAAGCAACCGGGACCUGAUUGCUGCAUCAGUCACUGAAGUGAAGUGUGGCUUCCUCUUCAAAAGCCACCCCCCUCAUCGCAGGCGACUCCAGCCAAUCACAGGCUUUGUUUACUGAGGUUGCUGGGACAACAGGAGGAAUAUGUGCCCCAUGCCAGGCUGACCUUGGGACACUUUUUCUCUCCGAUCACCAAUCACUCCGGCAUGUGUGUCUCACCCCGUCUGUCUUUUUAUUUCGAUACCAAUUGUUCUUUGUUAAAUAACAAAAGUGAACAAUGUUGCCAAAUCAGUUUCAGCUGAAACUUUUCCUGAACCUGGUAUCUGUCAGGGUUUUACCGUGUUCACAGUCUUCACGCAGGACAUUCUCUGCUUAUGUAAUAUGUAUUAAACCAGCUGACGAACUCUUGAGUUAUUUUUUAAUAAAUGGGUCCAGGUAAACUUU
Molecule: long non-coding RNA, 579 nt
Organism: Micropterus salmoides (largemouth bass)
Lineage: Eukaryota; Metazoa; Chordata; Actinopteri; Centrarchiformes; Centrarchidae
Exons: 2
Source: RefSeq, a predicted model, not a curated record